RNAcentral lists this RNase P RNA (264 nucleotides) under Anaerolineales bacterium. Its description in RNAcentral is "partial RNase P RNA component class A". It matches the Rfam family "Bacterial RNase P class A", at positions 1 to 249 of the family's 367-position model. From Rfam's summary of the family: Ribonuclease P (RNase P) is a ubiquitous endoribonuclease, found in archaea, bacteria and eukarya as well as chloroplasts and mitochondria. Its best characterised activity is the generation of mature 5'-ends of tRNAs by cleaving the 5'-leader elements of precursor-tRNAs. The record is from RNAcentral. Lineage: Bacteria; Bacillati; Chloroflexota; Anaerolineae; Anaerolineales.
CAGGUUGGUUGGGCGAUCGCGGUGGCGCGUUGACGCCAUCGAGGAAAGUCCGCACUCCAUAGAGCACGGCGUCGGAUAGUCCCCGGGGCGGGGAAGCCUCCGUAAGGAGCGAACCUGCCGGACAAGGGCCACAGAAACAAACAGCCCCGCGCUUGCGCGAGGUGAUGGUGAAAAGGUGGUGUAAGAGACCACCGGCGUUUGCAGUAAUGCAGAUCGUCAGGUAACCCCCGCCGGGAGCAAGGCCAAGCAGGGACGAAGCCAUCU